CCCUUAGAUGUCCUGGGCCGCACGCGCGCUACACUGAUGCAUUCAACGAGUAUUUCCUUGGCCGAGAGGCCUGGGCAAUCUUUUAAACCUGCAUCGUGAUAGGGAUAGAUUAUUGCAAUUAUUAAUCUUGAACGAGGAAUUCCUAGUAAACGCAAAUCGUCAAUUUGCAUUGAUUACGUCCCUGCCCUUUGUACACACCGCCCGUCGCACCUACCGAUUGAAUGGUCCGGUGAAAUCUCGGGAUUGUGGCCAGUUCACUUUAUUGGGAGUUGGCUGCGAGAACUUGCUUAAACCUUAUCAUUUAGAGGAAGGUGAAGUCGUAACA
This 325-nucleotide ribosomal RNA is filed under the name uncultured eukaryote. RNAcentral's name for it is "partial 18S ribosomal RNA". It matches the Rfam family "Eukaryotic small subunit ribosomal RNA", at positions 1470 to 1796 of the family's 1831-position model. The record is from RNAcentral.